Molecule: ribosomal RNA, 464 nt
Filed under: uncultured bacterium
Lineage: Bacteria
Description: bacterial SSU rRNA
Rfam family: Bacterial small subunit ribosomal RNA
Source: RNAcentral
CCAGACUCCUACGGGAGGCAGCAGUGAGGAAUAUUGGUCAAUGGGCGAGAGCCUGAACCAGCCAAGUCGCGUGAGGGGAGACGGUCCUAUGGAUUGUAAACCUCUUUUGUCAGGGAGCAACGCCGGCUACGUGUAGCCGGACUGAGAGUACCUGAAGAAAAAGCAUCGGCUAACUCCGUGCCAGCAGCCGCGGUAAUACGGAGGAUGCGAGCGUUAUCCGGAUUUAUUGGGUUUAAAGGGUGCGCAGGCGGAAUGUCAAGUCAGCGGUAAAAUUUCGGGGCUCAACCCCGUCGUGCCGUUGAAACUGGCGUUCUUGAGUGAGCGAGAAGUAUGCGGAAUGCGUGGUGUAGCGGUGAAAUGCAUAGAUAUCACGCAGAACUCCGAUUGCGAAGGCAGCAUACCGGCGCUCAACUGACGCUCAUGCACGAAAGCGUGGGUAUCGAACAGGAUUAGAUACCCCAGUA